AGCUCCAAUAGUGUAUAUUAAAGUUGUUGUGAUUAAAACGCUCGUAGUUGAAGAGAAGAAAAAGACGAAGUAGGUGAUGGUGUCCUUCGGGAUAGCAUUUCUACGAUAAAAGUCUUUUAGAAGGGAUCACUUUCGAGUGAUAUUACUUUGAAAAAAAUAGAGUGUUUAAAGCAAAACAUUUUGUUAAUGAAUAAUGAAGCAUGGGACAAUGACGAGGAGAUCCGUAUGGAUUUCGAGAGAAGGAUUAAGAGGAAUAAUUGGGGUGAUUUAGAAAAAUACGGGAGAGGUGAAAAUCCAUGAUCGUAUUAAGAUAAACGAGAGCGAAAGCAUUUCACUCAAUUAUGUUCA
This 348-nucleotide ribosomal RNA is filed under the name uncultured eukaryote. RNAcentral's name for it is "SSU rRNA". It matches the Rfam family "Eukaryotic small subunit ribosomal RNA", at positions 587 to 972 of the family's 1831-position model. The record is from RNAcentral.